Molecule: ribosomal RNA, 253 nt
Filed under: uncultured bacterium
Lineage: Bacteria
Description: partial 16S ribosomal RNA
Rfam family: Bacterial small subunit ribosomal RNA
Source: RNAcentral
UACGUAGGGGGCAAGCGUUGUCCGGAAUCAUUGGGCGUAAAGAGCGUGUAGGCGGUCCGGUAAGUCGGCUGUGAAAGCCCAGGGCUCAACCCUGGGAUGCCGGUCGAUACUGCCGGACUAGAGUUCGGAAGAGGCGAGUGGAAUUCCCGGUGUAGCGGUGAAAUGCGCAGAUAUCGGGAGGAACACCAAUGGCGAAGGCAGCUCGCUGGGACGUUACUGACGCUGAGACGCGAAAGCGUGGGGAGCAAACAGG